Molecule: ribosomal RNA, 275 nt
Filed under: uncultured bacterium
Lineage: Bacteria
Description: partial 16S ribosomal RNA
Rfam family: Bacterial small subunit ribosomal RNA
Source: RNAcentral
GCGUGAGUGAAGAAGGCCUUCGGGUUGUAAAGCUCUUUCAAUAGGGAAGAUGAUGACGGUACCUAUAGAAGAAGCCCCGGCUAAAUCCGUGCCAGCAGCCGCGGUAAGACGGAUGGGGCUAGCGUUGUUCGGAAUUACUGGGCGUAAAGGGCGCGUAGGCGGCCAUUUAAGUUAGACGUGAAAGCCCUGGGCUUAACCUAGGAAUUGCGUUUAAUACUGGAUGGCUAGAGUUUGGUAGAGGAAAGCGGAAUUCCUAGUGUAGAGGUGAAAUUCGU